Molecule: small nucleolar RNA, 72 nt
Organism: Xenopus tropicalis (tropical clawed frog)
Lineage: Eukaryota; Metazoa; Chordata; Amphibia; Anura; Pipidae
Source: Ensembl
CUGUGAUGAAUUAACCUGAAAAAUAGCUGGAAUUACCGGCAGAUUGCUGGUGGUGAUAUUGGUUGUCUGAGC